Molecule: long non-coding RNA, 1238 nt
Organism: Chelonia mydas (Green sea turtle)
Lineage: Eukaryota; Metazoa; Chordata; Testudines; Cheloniidae
Exons: 3
Source: RefSeq, a predicted model, not a curated record
CAAAGCUCACCAUCUCUGCUAUGAAUCUGCACCUCAAUGAAUUGAACUCAUGUCUAUGACCAAGAGUGCAGCGGGAAAGAGCAUGGAGUUGUGCAAAGUUAGCCAAAGGAUCACACUGUAAAGGGGGCCAUGGACAGUAACUUGCAGAGUGUUACUGACUGAAGGACACGUUAACUGUCAAUUUUCACAAAGAAGUUUGGCUCCUAAAAGGAAGCUGUGGAGAGAGCAGCGUUUUUUGGCCUGUGGCAUGCCGGUCAGCGAUACAUCACCCGAUACAGCAAGUCACCUGUCUUGUAGUACCACCACUCGUCCAUGGCAUGGAACAUCCUAUAUGCUAUGAAGUUACCAAGAAACUCCCAGCAUGCACCAUGUUUGUUACUUGUCUGGAAUCCAUAAAAUAGAGAAUGCUAUAAAUAUACUCAUGUUGGACAAAAAGAAAAGGAGUAUUUGUGGCACCUUAGAGACUAACCAAUUUAUUUGAGCAUAAGCUUUCGUGAGCUACAGCUCACUUCAUCGGAUGCACCUGUCAUGUUGGACAGUUUCCUGUUCUGUUGUCUUAUGCAUGAUGUUUAAAAAUUGCACAAUUCUGUGGUUCUAAUGUACUAACACUUCCAAGUUUGGUUCAAAACAAAUCUUUACUUGAAUGACAUGGGUUUGCAGGUUCUGUGCUUUGAACUUAUUUGUCCCAUAGUCAAACUUCUUUGCAAACCCAUUGUCACAUUCCGGGCUGCACUCCAGACCAGUGACAGGUUGUCACUGCGUGCUCUGCAACACUGGGUGUCUCAAUGCUUUGCUGCUGUUGUAGUUCCCAACCUGCUACUGUUACAUCCCGGGGUACAAUCCAGGCCAGUGAGGGGCUGUCACCAUUGUGCCUCACAAUUUUGUGCUGUUGUAGAUCUCAACGUGGGCUGUUCACAAACAGCCAACAGCAUGCAGGUCACACCCUGUGUGUCUGUGUAUAGCUACAGCCCUGGUCAGCAGCCUGUCCACAACACUCCAGUCAUACUCUGGCUCCCAUGAGCCUUGGUUACUACUUGCAGGGUGAGUCCUGGAUUUUCUCAAAAUGUGUGCUGUGCACUGUCCAGCCCUGGACAGUUCAUAUAUUAAGGAUCCAUUGCCCCUGCAAAGGGUCAAUAUUCAACAGUUUGUUACUUUAACUGGAGUUACCAAACAAUUCAAUUUAAACUAGGGAUGUCAAGCGACUAAAAGAAGUAAGUGCGAUACAUCGCGCGAUUAAA